AAAGAAGAACACGUAUGAGAGUAACUGUUCAUACGUUGACGGUAUUUAACCAGAAAGUCACGGCUAACUACGUGCCAGCAGCCGCGGUAAUACGUAGGUGGCAAGCGUUAUCCGGAUUUAUUGGGCGUAAAGAGAGUGCAGGCGGUUUUCUUAAGUCUGAUGUGAAAGCCUUCGGCUUAACCGGAGAAGUGCAUCGGAAACUAGGAUAACUUGAGUGCAGAAGAGGGUAGUGGAACUCCAUGUGUAGCGGUGGAAUGCGUAGAUAUAUGGAAGAACACCAGUGGCGAAGGCGGCUACCUGGUCUGCAACUGACGCUGAGACUCGAAAGCAUGGGUAGCGAACAGGAUUAGAUACCCUGGUAG
This 362-nucleotide ribosomal RNA is filed under the name uncultured bacterium. Its description in RNAcentral is "bacterial SSU rRNA". It matches the Rfam family "Bacterial small subunit ribosomal RNA", at positions 441 to 793 of the family's 1533-position model. The record is from RNAcentral.